UCUUUAAUUUUCCUCAAAAUUAAAAUGGCAGCUCUUCACUUUUCACUUCGGUGAGAAUUGUCCGACCGCAAAACCCUUGCGAUAGUGAACCUUAGAAUAUUCAGAACCAACACCUAUCCAUUGAAGAGCGGCUCCUAACGAAGGGUCUGAUGAAAUCAUUUUCUCACACUCCCCAUUUUGGCUGUAAGUUCAUGGGUUACCACCCAACCAAGUCACUAUAGAUAAUGCCCAGGUCAUUGGUAAAUCCAUUGGAGAAUUCAUUAACACAGAAUGGUCUGAUUGGGUACCAUGCAAUUCUAAGAAUCAAAGUUAAGCUUCCACUUUAUCAACCAUUUCUUACUGGCUUUCACAACCAAAAAGAAUAUGGGACUUUGCAAUGGAUAAAUUUUAAGAUAGAAAGGCUUUCGAAUAUUUGUUAUUCAUGUGGCAUGUUGAGACUUAUCAACAAAAACUGCACUCUCUCCACCUAGACCAAUUAACGAGAAGGCACUGUCUCUACAGAAGGGAAAUUUAGCCCAUGGCAUCGAGCUUUGCAGAUUAAUCAUAAAUCCAACCAAAACUAGUUUACCUCAUCUAACAACACUUCUGUGGUUAUAGCUUUACUAACCACAGAUCAACCCAAACAGAACAUACGAUCCUUUGAGGGCUCUUCAGCCCUAACAUCCUCCUCCCAAAUUGCAAAAGCCAUAAUCCACAUGAUUGAACCACCACCACUACCCACUUCAGAAAGCCCCUCUCUUUGAAAUCAAAAUCAUUACCCACCUUCCACCCAACCUAUUGAACUAGAAUUAAUCCUGGCAUCUUGUAAUGUAGUUUCAGAGGAAUUUACCUCGAAUAGGAAAUCAAAGAUGAUCCCUUCGCCCAUACUGCCAGCUUUCCUCUUUGGAGUCUUCUUGAGUAGUGCGCAAGCAGGAGACUUGAGAAUUGAUGCUGCUAUCGUUGAACUCUUCCAUGCAUUGGCAGGAUUAUCUUUCCUUUCAUGGAAAUCACCACGUUAAUACUUCGGCUCAUCUUGAGGAGUUUCCUCACUUAACCUUCCUUUUUCAAACUAGGGCAUUUAUUGAUUCGC
RNAcentral lists this unclassified non-coding RNA (1069 nucleotides) under Hevea brasiliensis (rubber tree). The record is from RNAcentral. Lineage: Eukaryota; Viridiplantae; Streptophyta; Magnoliopsida; Malpighiales; Euphorbiaceae.